GUGUCAGCAGCCGCGGUAAUACCAGCUCUCCGAGUGGUAGGGACGAUUAUUGGGCUUAAAGCGUCCGUAGCCGGCUUAGCAAGUCUCCUGUUAAAUUCAGCGACCUAAUCGUUGAGCCGCGGGAGAUACUACUAGGCUAGGAGGCGGGAGAGGUCGACGGUACUUCCGGGGUAGGGGUGAAAUCCUAUAAUCCCGGGAGGACCACCAGUGGCGAAGGCUGUCGACUAGAACGCGCUCGACGGUGAGGGACGAAAGCUGGGGGAGCGAACCGGAUUAGAUACCCGGGUAGUCCCAGCCGUAAACGAUGCGGGCUAGGUGUUGGAGUGGCUACGUGCCACUUCAGUGCCGCAGGGAAGCCGUUAAGCAUGCCGCCUGGGGAGUACGGUCGCAAGACUGAAACUUAAAUGAAUUGACGGGG
RNAcentral lists this ribosomal RNA (418 nucleotides) under uncultured prokaryote. Its description in RNAcentral is "bacterial SSU rRNA". It matches the Rfam family "Archaeal small subunit ribosomal RNA", at positions 455 to 873 of the family's 1478-position model. The record is from RNAcentral.